GCCAGACUCCUACGGGAGGCAGCAGUGGGGAAUAUUGCACAAUGGGGGAAACCCUGAUGCAGCGACGCCGCGUGAGCGAGGAAGUAUUUCGGUAUGUAAAGCUCUAUCAGCAGGGACGAAAAAAGACGGUACCUGACUAAGAAGCCCCGGCUAACUACGUGCCAGCAGCCGCGGUAAUACGUAGGGGGCAAGCGUUAUCCGGAUUUACUGGGUGUAAAGGGAGCGUAGACGGCAAGGCAAGCCAGAAGUGAAAGGGCAGGGCUCAACCCUGUACAUGCUUUUGGAACUGUGGUGCUAGAGUGCGGGAGAGGUAAGUGGAAUUCCUAGUGUAGCGGUGAAAUGCGUAGAUAUUAGGAGGAACACCAGUGGCGAAGGCGGCUUACUGGACUGUAACUGACGUUGAGGCUCGAAAGCGUGGGGAGCAAACAGGAUUAGAUACCCCGGUAAG
Molecule: ribosomal RNA, 448 nt
Filed under: uncultured bacterium
Lineage: Bacteria
Description: bacterial SSU rRNA
Rfam family: Bacterial small subunit ribosomal RNA
Source: RNAcentral